Molecule: long non-coding RNA, 2835 nt
Organism: Aethalodelphis obliquidens (Pacific white-sided dolphin)
Lineage: Eukaryota; Metazoa; Chordata; Mammalia; Artiodactyla; Delphinidae
Exons: 2
Source: RefSeq, a predicted model, not a curated record
GGUUUUUAGUAGAGCAAGAGGUGAGAAAAUGCUUUGGGGAACUCCCUAUAAAAUCUGCCCUUAAUAUAAUGGGAGACCUAUAGGACAGAGUGGAAAGACACAAAAGCCAUGGAUGGAAGUACAUAUAAAUUAGGGGUGAAUAUUAGCUCAUAAUCUCAUUUCCUCCAUCUCUGCCCUUCUUGGCUCCCUAUACCUGGACAAAGUGGUUCCUUACCUUAGAAAUAAACUCACUCUCCUUUCCUAAAUACAUCUUUUCCUUGCUACCCACAGUAGGCUUUGGAAUAAGACAUUUCUGGACUCAAGUCCUCCUUCUUUCAUUAAUGAUUUAUGUAGUCUUCAGUAAUUUGGAUGGCAAGAUUUCAUUUCUCAUAAACCUGAGAAGAUUAAGAUGAAUUACCAGAUUAGUUUGAAGAGAGUGAGAGAGUUGGUGGUUAGAAAUGCAAAAAUGGGAUAUCCAGGUACAACCAGAUAUUUAUCAGAAUUUCCCAUGAGAACUUUGUGUUAUGGUCUAUAGAGCUUGUUUUGCUAAGAGCCUUUCAGUUGCUAGAGACUUCAUUGACUCAAUCUACUAGAAGUCUGGAAAGAGAACUUGUUUCAGUCAUACCUGGUUUCCCAAAUAAUUAGUCAUCUAUUUUCUUCUACCUACCACAGGUAGAGUCCUCCAGAAGCAGAUGCUGAGAUGGAGCUCAGAGUGCAAGCUGUUACCUGUGAAGGGAAAGGCAGAGGGAGAAAUGAAACCAUGAUGAAGGCCCCGCAAAACCUCGACCAACCAGCUGAGUUAAUACUCUGUAUUGACUGUGAGGUCUUUCCCAAGACUGGUCAAAAUAGCCAGGCUUUGUAUGCGACCUUGCUCAGUCACUAAUGCGGGCUGAGCCAUGAAGGGCAUGAUCUCAGUGUGGAGAAUAACUGUGGGAUUCUGCAAAAUGCUGAAUGGGAAAGUAGCACAAGAACACAAUAACAAAGAGCCUUUCAUGCUGCAAGGAAGAGUACUCCUGUUGGCAUGGAGAACCUCUAACACUGGGACUGCAAAAUGGCAAACCUGUGAAAAGAAAGAGAUUUCUAUAUUCAGAAAUACAGGAUACCUUUAAAGUAGUGUCAGUUUAAUGUGUGUGUGUGUGUGUGUGUGUGUGUGUGUGUGUGUAUAGACACAUGAUUUUUUUGUCUCUGUAAGUACGUACAAAUCUUUUAUUUAAAAUCUCUUUGGUUGGGUUUAUGAAAGGUUUCUCUCUUUGGAGUUUGUCUUAAAUAUAAUAAUCCAGGGCUUAUACUCAGAGGGCACAUGUCAAAAUAGCCACACUAUUUAUUAAAUAUUGAAAUAUUUUUCUACCCAUUGGGAAAUGGUAUAGUAGUAAAUGUGAAUGAGAUAAAUUCUAAAAUUAAUUAACGAAUUUCAGCACAUGUGGUUUUUCUCAGAAACCACACGUCACUGUGAUUCCAAGAUUUUUAAAAAUUUUUCUGGUCUGGGCACUGGAGCACAGAACUGGAAGGCCCAUUGAAGAGAUCCUGUUAUUUAUUUCAGGUGUUGAGGAAUUUCUUUUGGGUUCAAAUGUCCCUGGUUGGGAGAAGGGAAAUCACACAGUCACAUUGAGGAGAAAUUUGGUGACGGUUGAAGAGUUUGGGAGAAGCCUGGGGCACAGGCAGCACAAGUGGGGCUUAAAUCACUCAAGUAUGAUUGGGACACUUUGCUUUAUUGGAAAACUCUUCCCUGGUGGUACUGACCAUCCCUGCACCAUGUGCAGAGGUUUAUGAGAAGGGGAUCUCCUGGGAUCCCUUUCAAAGGUCAAAAGAAUGUGAAAUGCAAGGAGUAACCAUGAGACCCUUCUCUCUGUCCCCUCCCUACUGCUCAUAGCCAGUUCUCCCCAUGGAGGAACCUCAAGAUACCCUGGCCCUCCCAUCCCUGCCCCGUCUGCUCCUACAACUCUUCCAAGCACUGGCGCUGGCUGAGUCUGGAAGCAAUUGCCCUUUCUCUUUACCUCUUCUUUCCCAUCUUGCAAUUGUCCUGCUUAUUAACUGGGCUUCAACCGGCUGUCCCUGUCCCAGCACCAGUUGUUUCCUGACUGGACUUUGCAGAGAGGCAACCAUCUCGCCUUUCUUGCGUGGAACAAAGCAGGCAAAACACGCAGAUUCUUAAUCAGGUAACUAGAAUUGGCCAACAACCACCCCCCUUGUCCCCUCUUCCUAACUUUCUUUUGUUUUGAUAGGAUUUAUUAUUAUUUAGGAUGGUAAGGCCAACAUAUCAGGAGACAAUGGCCAUUGGAAAAAAUUAUUAUUAUACACACAGAUCCCAAGUGAGAGAAUACAGGUCAUGCCACUGAGGGCCACAGGGAAGCACCAGGCAGUCCGGAGGCAGAGCGAAAAAACUGCCUUUAGCCAGAGCCUUUACCAUGUUUUCCAUAUGCAGGGUAAACAGGUUUGGGAUUGACUAGUCUGAAUCAUUUCAGUGGACUUUGGAGCAUAGGAGCUGUCCCAGGUGUCUCACAUCUGGUCCUGCAGUGAUUAGGGCUGGUGGACUGUGGCCAGGAGUGUGAGAGCCUAAUAAGGGAGGUGGUGAGAAGUGUAGACUCUGAACUGGUUGGUUUGUAUUUGGAAAGAUUGGCCCUGGGAGGAUGAUUCCUCCUGAGGGGGAAGAAAGCAAAGGAGGCCAAGGCAAGGUGACUCAGAGAAAUUACCAGGUUGUUUGGAAUAAGGUAUCUCUGGUACAUGCACAUAGGGCAGAUUUUAAAUCAUCAAGUUUGCAGAAACUAGAAACAUGAUUAAUACACUCUUUCCCUCUCAUCCUUUUUUUUUCUCCUCCUCUGGCUUUCCAACUUCUAUCAAUAAAUUUAUGACAAAGGG